GACUCCGUGGCGCAACGGUGGCGCGUUUUUAUCUCCCGAAAAGGCUGCGUGUUCGACUCACGCCGGAGUCG
Non-coding RNA from Geopyxis carbonaria, 71 nucleotides. The record is from the annotation of a GenBank genome assembly. NCBI's taxonomy places the organism in Eukaryota, Fungi, Ascomycota, Pezizomycetes, Pezizales, Tarzettaceae.